UCCAGACUCCUACGGGAGGCAGCAGUGGGGAAUAUUGGGCAAUGGGCGCAAGCCUGACCCAGCAACGCCGCGUGAAGGAAGAAGGCUUUCGGGUUGUAAACUACUUUUAUUGAGGACGAAACAAAUGACGGUACUCAAUGAAUAAGCCACGGCUAACUACGUGCCAGCAGCCGCGGUAAUACGUAGGUGGCAAGCGUUAUCCGGAUUUACUGGGUGUAAAGGGCGUGUAGGCGGGGAAGCAAGUCAGAUGUGAAAACCACGGGCUCAACCUGUGGCCUGCAUUUGAAACUGUUUUUCUUGAGUACUGGAGAGGCAGACGGAAUUCCUAGUGUAGCGGUGAAAUGCGUAGAUAUUAGGAGGAACACCAGUGGCGAAGGCGGUCUGCUGGACAGCAACUGACGCUGAGGCGCGAAAGCGUGGGGAGCAAACAGGAUUAGAUACCCGGGUAG
Molecule: ribosomal RNA, 449 nt
Filed under: uncultured bacterium
Lineage: Bacteria
Description: bacterial SSU rRNA
Rfam family: Bacterial small subunit ribosomal RNA
Source: RNAcentral